RNAcentral lists this ribosomal RNA (636 nucleotides) under uncultured archaeon. RNAcentral describes it as "bacterial SSU rRNA". It matches the Rfam family "Archaeal small subunit ribosomal RNA", at positions 69 to 683 of the family's 1478-position model. The record is from RNAcentral.
UACGGCGCGAUUCGCCUUACUGCUCAGUAACACGUGGCUAACCUGCCCUUGGGACGAGAACAACCCCGGGAAACUGGGGCUAAUUCUCGAUAGGUGAAGAUCUCUGGAAUGAGUUUUCUCCUAAAGGGUGCUAGAGUUAUGCUCUUUAGCUUCGCCCAAGGAUGGGGCCGCGACCGAUCAGGUUGUUGGUGAGGUAAUGGCUCACCAAGCCUUUUACCGGUGCGGGCCGUGGGAGCGGGAGCCCGGAGAUGAGCACUGAGACAAGGGCCCAGGCCCUACGGGGCGCAGCAGUCGCGAAAACUUUGCAAUAAGCGAAAGCUUGACAGGGCUAUCCCGAGUGCCAUCCGCUGAGGAAGGCUUUUACCCAGUCUAGAACGCUGGGGGAAUAAGGAGAGGGCAAGUCUGGUGUCAGCCGCCGCGGUAAUACCAGCUCUCCGAGUGGUGUGGAUGUUUAUUGGGCCUAAAGCAUCCGUAGCUGGCUAGGUUAGUCCCCUGUUAAAUCCACCGAAUUAAUCGUUGGUUUGCGGGGGAUACUGCUUGGCUAGGGGACGAGAGAGGCAGACGGGUAUUUCCGGGGUAGGGGUGAAAUCCUAUAAUCCCGGUAGGACCACCAGUGGCGAAGGCUGGUCUGGUUAG